GUGCCAGCAGCCGCGGUAAUACAGAGGUGCCAAGCGUUAGGCGGAAUCACUGGGCUUAAAGCGCGUGUAGGCGGGUCGUUAAGUGUCUUGUGAAAUCCCACGGCUCAACCGUGGAACUGCUGGGCAUACUGACGAUCUUGAGGCACUCAGGGGCUGUCGGAACAAAUGGUGGAGCGGUGAAAUGCGUAGAUAUCAUUUGGAACGCCAACGGUGAAAACAGACAGCUGGGGGUGUCCUGACGCUGAGACGCGAAAGCCAGGGGAGCGAACGGGAUUAGAAACCCUCGUAGUCC
This 292-nucleotide ribosomal RNA is filed under the name uncultured bacterium. Its description in RNAcentral is "partial 16S ribosomal RNA". It matches the Rfam family "Bacterial small subunit ribosomal RNA", at positions 505 to 796 of the family's 1533-position model. The record is from RNAcentral.